This 465-nucleotide ribosomal RNA is filed under the name uncultured bacterium. RNAcentral's name for it is "partial 16S ribosomal RNA". It matches the Rfam family "Bacterial small subunit ribosomal RNA", at positions 339 to 795 of the family's 1533-position model. The record is from RNAcentral.
CUACGGGGGGCUGCAGUGGGGAAUAUUGGACAAUGGGGGAAACCCUGAUCCAGCAAUGCCGCGUGUGUGAAGAAGGCCUGCGGGUUGUAAAGCACUUUCGGUUGGGAGGACUGCUUCUAGCACUAAUAUUGUUGGAAGUUGACGUUACCUUCAGAAGAAGCACCGGCUAACUCCGUGCCAGCAGCCGCGGUAAUACGGAGGGUGCAAGCGUUAAUCGGAAUUACUGGGCGUAAAGCGCGCGUAGGCGGCUAGAUCAGUCGGGUGUGAAAGCCCCGGGCUUAACCUGGGAACUGCAUCCGAUACUGUCUAGCUUGAGUACAGGAGAGGAGAGUGGAAUUCCACAUGUAGCGGUGAAAUGCGUAGAUAUGUGGAGGAACACCAAUGGCGAAGGCAGCUCUCUGGCCUGAUACUGAUGCUGAGGUGCGAAGGCGUGGGGAGCAAACAGGAUUAGAUACCCUAGUAGUC